UACGAAGGGGGCUAGCGUUGCUCGGAAUCACUGGGCGUAAAGGGUGCGUAGGCGGGUCUUUAAGUCAGGGGUGAAAUCCUGGAGCUCAACUCCAGAACUGCCUUUGAUACUGAAGAUCUUGAGUUCGGGAGAGGUGAGUGGAACUGCGAGUGUAGAGGUGAAAUUCGUAGAUAUUCGCAAGAACACCAGUGGCGAAGGCGACUCACUGGCCCGAUACUGACGCUGAGGCACGAAAGCGUGGGGAGCAAACAGG
This 253-nucleotide ribosomal RNA is filed under the name uncultured bacterium. Its description in RNAcentral is "partial 16S ribosomal RNA". It matches the Rfam family "Bacterial small subunit ribosomal RNA", at positions 524 to 776 of the family's 1533-position model. The record is from RNAcentral.